RNAcentral lists this long non-coding RNA (2636 nucleotides) under Homo sapiens (human). Its description in RNAcentral is "long intergenic non-protein coding RNA 2367". Lineage: Eukaryota; Metazoa; Chordata; Mammalia; Primates; Hominidae. The record is from RNAcentral.
UUGUCAUUUUGCCUUUUCUAGAAUUUCAGGUAAAAGAAUCCUACAGUAGGUAUCUUUUGUGUCUGGCUGCUUUCACUUAGUGUAAAGCUCUUGAGAGGUAUCCGUGUUAGAUGUGUAUCGGUAAGUUGCCCUGUUUUAUUACUGAAUAUAUUCCGCUCUAUGGAUGUACCACAGUUUGUUUAUCCAUUUAUCAGCUGAAGGCCACUUGGGCUGCUCUCGGUUUGUGGGGAGCAGAGGGAAGCUGCUGGAACAUUCUUGUACAGAUUGUUGUGUGGAAAUCUGCUUUUAUUUGUCCUGGAUAAACACUUAAGGGGAAGGAUCGCUGGGUCUUAUGUUUGACUUUAUAAGGAACUGCUGAACUGUUUUCCACAGCAGCUGUGCCAUCUUGUAUGUCCGUCAGCACCGUGUGAGAGUUCCCCUGCUCUGCAGGCUUGCCAACGCAGAUGUGUCUUUUGAUUUCACCUGUUCUAGUGUGGAUACCGUUGUGGUUUCAAGUUGCAUUUCCCUAAUGAAUAAUGAUGUUCUGAAUCUUUUCAGGCACUUUUUUUUUUUUUUUUUUUUUUUUUUUGCCAUUUUGUAUACUUCUCUGGUGAAGUGCCUGGUCAAGCCUUUUACCCAUUUAAAAAAUCAAACUGUUUUCUUAUUGAUUUAUAAGAUAGAAGCUAGGCAUAGUUGCAUCUGCCUGUAGUCUUAACUACUUGGAAGCCCAAAGCAGGAUGAUCACUUGAGCCCACGUGUCUGAGGUCAGCCUGGGCGACAUGGUGAGACCCUGUCACUAAAAAUAAACAGAAAGUAAAGAUACAUAUAUAUCUCACUGUGCUAGGCUGAAUGAUGGCCUCCCAAAGAUGUUCGCAACCUAAUCUGUAAAAACUGUGAGUUUCUUACCUUACCUGGCAAAAGGGACUUUGCAGAUGUGAUUCAACUAAGGAUGUUGAGAUGGGGAGAUUCUCCUGGGUUACCUGGCUGGGUCUGAUGUAAUCACAGGAGUCCUCAUUAGAGGGAAGCAGAAAGACCAAAGUCAGAGACGGAGAUGUGGCCGUAGAAGCAGAGGUCCAUGUGCUGCGGGGCCAUGAGCCAAGGAACCCACGCCGCCUCUGGGAACUGGGAAAGGCAAGGGAGCAACGUCUCCCUGGAGCUCCAGAGUGAGCCAGCCCUGAUGACACCGUGACUUCAGCCCUCGGAGACUGACUGUGGACAUCGGACCUCUGUCACUGAACUGUCCAGGAAGACCCUGCAGUCUCUCUGCAGGCUCAUGGGAGCUCCCAGAACUGAGACAACACACGGAUCCAGGCCUGCUUCGAAGUCAGUGGGAUGCGGCCCUUGAAAGUCGAUGUAUUGGGUUCCUAGGGCUCUCGUGAAAACAUGCCACACCUGGCUGGUUUUAAACAACAGGAGUUUAUUCUGUCAGUUGAGAAGGCUACAAGUGCAAAAUCAAGGUAUUGACGGGAUGAGUUCCAACUAGAGGCUGUGAGGCAGAUCAACUCCAUGGCUCUCUCCUGGCUUCUGCUGGUUUCUGGCAACCGUUCACUUCCCAUGCCUGGUAGACACAUCACUCUAACCUCUGCCUCCCUUUUUCAUGGGCACAUUCGCGCCUGUGUGUGUGUGUGUGUGGAUGUGUGUGUUAAGGACAGCAAUCAUUAGACUAGAUGGGGCCCACUCUAAUCCACUGUGAGCUUCUCUUACUUUGGUAACAUCUGCAAAGACCCUAUUUCCAAACAAGGUCACAUUCCAUGUUCUGGGACUGUCUUCUGAGAGAUGUCUCCCCCAGGAUCCUUCCAGGUGGAAGGAUGCCCUUUGACCUGCAAAGCCAGGCAGAAAACCAGGAUCAGGGCAGGACAAGAGGAUGCUAGCCUGUGAUGGCUCCCACUCAGGUGGGAUGUGAGAAGUGCCUGUGGCCUGGGACACACCAACUUGCUCCCGUUACCUCAUCUGAGAUGGACUGCACAGUGUAUGUCCAGGGCCCAACCCGGUACACUGUGCCUUUGCAAUGCUGUCUCUGUGCUUUGGAAAUUCACUCAGCCCACUGCGUGGGGUGGUCUGAGGCGGGCCACAACCAUUUCUCAACCAUCCCUGAGUACCUGACCAGUAUCCCUCGGGGGUGACGACGACCGCCUACAUCUGGAGCAUGAGGAGCGUGUUUACCUGGUGAGUAAGGAUGCAAGCAUAGGACGUCCUGGCCGAUCCUCUGCACAAGCAAUGCCUUUGCUCCAACGGGAUGGGCAACGUUGGAUUAGGCCUGAGGCAGAUUUGAUCUCGGAAGAUACAUUCGAGUCUAUGUGUUUUGUGCAUUUAUUUUUGUUUCCUUGAAUUAACAUGGAGUCCAUUUCAACUUUCACUUAGUCUCCUUUCUCUUCCCCCACUUCUUUCUCUCUCUCUCUUUCUUUGUAUGUGGAAGAAUUUUAACUCUGUGUUCCAUAAUGUCUAAAUACUCAAAUUUAGAGUUGACAGCCAUACAGCAAAUUAUUCAAGUUGCUGUCAAAAAAAAAAAAUCCCUGCGUUUUCUAGGAUUAAAACUGUGAAUAGAGUACUGGAAGAAAAAAAAGUCAUAGACUCAGAUGCAAAAUGACAACAUUUAAUGGGAUGAUAAGGAAAUAAGACUUGACAAGAAACCAUAGCCCACUGCAGACUGUUCACGA